This 1300-nucleotide long non-coding RNA is filed under the name Ananas comosus (pineapple). Its description in RNAcentral is "long non-coding RNA (ACOM_LNC012626)". The record is from RNAcentral. Lineage: Eukaryota; Viridiplantae; Streptophyta; Magnoliopsida; Poales; Bromeliaceae.
UUCUCCUUUUUCAUUUUCCUUUUUUUCUCUUAAAAAAAAAAAAAAGUUAAUUUUAUACCGGACAUUAAAAAUAUAAUAAAUUAUAAAUAUAUACCUUCAAAGUUCAAUUUUUAUAUAUUAUUUCUAUAAAAAUUCUAAUAUUUUUAAAUAUGUUUAUCUGAUUUGCUAUCGUUAAAAUACUGUUUAUUUUAUAAGGCUUCGUUUGGUUCGAAUAUAAGCAAAAACUAGAUAUUACAGGGAUAGAUAUAAGUAUGAGGAUAAGAAAAAUAACGUUUAGAUAAAAAAUUGGGUUGUUUCCGAGUAGCGUUUGGAUAUGUAAUAUGGAAUAAGAAAAAUAGUGGAUAGUUAUAUAUAGAAAAUAGAGGUAUUGAUGGGGAUAGUUAUAUCAGCUUAUUUCAGAUACCCGAGAACUAUUAUUCUCGGAUAAAAAAUUUGUGUUUGGAUAUAAAGGGGGUAAGGAGUUAUCUCUCCCCUUAUCCCUGAUCGAAACGCUACCUAAGUGAAUAUCCCUCUAAAAGUCCCAACUAUUAAUUAAUGGGGGGUAAAAAGGUCAAUUCAUUUUAUAAACUAAUCAGAGUUAAGUAUUUUAUCUAUAGUUAACUAAUUUUUUCUAACGGAUCUUAAAAAUUUUGCACGAAUAAUAUAUAAAAAUUAAACUUUAUAGAAAUAUAUAUUUAUCAUUUAUUAUAUUUGUAGGGAUCUGUAUGAAAUUAACUCAAAAAAAAAAAAAUAAAUAAAAAAAGAAAAAUUGUUUGAUGGGGCGUGGUCCUAUAAUUGAGCACGGGCCACGCGCGUGCUCUGGGUACGCGGUACUUCUUUUGGCUUCGCUCCCCGAUGUUUCUUUCACGUUUGAGGCCACUCUCUCCCUUUCUCACGGUUACCCAUAAAUGUCGCCUGUGUAUUGUUCAAUAUAUUCUAUAAUUCAGAUUUAACAGCUAAUAUGACAUCAUAAAUAUUUAACUAUAUUAUUUUAGAUUAUACUUAAUUAUAAAAUAUUAAUUUUUAGACGAGUAGAACUACUAUGCUAUCGAAAGUAUAAAAAAUCUGGUGCUUCCGACUUUUUAGCUCUUAGAUCAGUCCCUUUAAUUAUUUCUAUUUUUUGAAUUAAUACUAUUAUUCUGUGGAACCACUCAAUUCUAGAGAUACUACUCAAUUUUAGGAGGGACCGCAAUCAUCCCAAUUGUACAAUUCUUGAUCCAAGGGUCAAAAAAUCGGAAGCAUCAAAUCCUCUAUAUUUUCGGUAGCUUUUUAGUUAAGUUGAUUUUAAUAUGACUUCAUAAAAAAAAAACACAGCCAGUAU